AUACAACUCUGAGCGGUGGAUCACUUGGCCUGUGGAUGCUAUGAAGACCAUAGCUAAAUGUGAGAACGGCAGCGGGUCGUUGCUAUAUGCGCUGUCUCCUGUCUCUCAUAUGUCGAAUGCACAUUGCGCCCUGCCAGCGCGGUCGAUGGUGGAUCGGAUGAAAUCUGUGCGGCCCGUAGUCAAACGUGAGGAGGCGCAAGCAGCCGAGUGUGCGGUACGUGGCUGCCUCAUAGUAAUCCGUUCGACUGCAGAGGUGGGGGCACUUCUAGUCGAGUGUGGU
RNAcentral lists this ribosomal RNA (280 nucleotides) under Stygobromus stegerorum. Its description in RNAcentral is "5.8S ribosomal RNA". The stretch from base 5 to 156 matches the Rfam family "5.8S ribosomal RNA". Rfam says of the family: 5.8S ribosomal RNA (5.8S rRNA) is a component of the large subunit of the eukaryotic ribosome. Lineage: Eukaryota; Metazoa; Arthropoda; Malacostraca; Amphipoda; Crangonyctidae. The record is from RNAcentral.